This 497-nucleotide ribosomal RNA is filed under the name uncultured bacterium. Its description in RNAcentral is "partial 16S ribosomal RNA". It matches the Rfam family "Bacterial small subunit ribosomal RNA", at positions 28 to 507 of the family's 1533-position model. The record is from RNAcentral.
GAUGAACGCUGGCGGCGUGCCUAAUACAUGCAAGUCGAGCGAACAGAUGAUGAGCUUGCUCCUCUGACGUUAGCGGCUGACGGGUGAGUAACACGUGGAUCACCUACCUAUAAGACUGGGAUAACUUCGGGAAACCGGAGAUAAUACCGGAUAAUAUAUUGAACCGCAUGGUUCAAUAGUGAAAGACGGUUUUGCUGUCACUUAUAGCUGGAUCCGCGCCGCAUUAGCUAGUUGGUAAGGUAACGGCUUACCAAGGCAACGAUGCGUAGCCGAUCUGAGAGGGUGAUCGGCCACACUGGAACUGAGACACGGUCCAGACUCCUACGGGAGGCAGCAGUAGGGAAUAUUCCGCAAUGGGCGAAAGCCUGACGCAGCAAUGCCGCGUGAGUGAUGAAGGUCUUCGGAUCGUAAAGCUCUGUUAUUAGGGAAGAAAAACUGUGUAAGAAACUCUGGACGUCUUGACGGUACCCAAUCAGAAAGCAACGGCUAACUUCGUG